GGGGGCAAGCGUUGUCCGGAAUUAUUGGGCGGAAAGAGCGCGUAGGCGGUCCGGUAAGUCCGCUCUGAAAGUCCGGGGCUCAACCCCGGGAGGCGGGCGGAUACUGUCGGGCUAGAGUCCGGAAGAGGCGAGUGGAAUUCCUGGUGUAGCGGUGAAAUGCGCAGAUAUCAGGAGGAACACCAAUGGCGAAGGCAGCUCGCUGGGACGGUACUGACGCUGAGGCGCGAAAGCGUGGGGAGCAAACAGG
Molecule: ribosomal RNA, 247 nt
Filed under: uncultured bacterium
Lineage: Bacteria
Description: partial 16S ribosomal RNA
Rfam family: Bacterial small subunit ribosomal RNA
Source: RNAcentral